UGGUGGCGAUAGCGAAGAGGUCACACCCGUUCCCAUACCGAACACGGAAGUUAAGUUCUUCAGCGCCGAUGGUAGUCGGGGGUUUCCCCCUGUGAGAGUAGGACGCUGCCAAGCA
RNAcentral lists this ribosomal RNA (115 nucleotides) under Bacillus sp. JS. Lineage: Bacteria; Bacillati; Bacillota; Bacilli; Caryophanales; Bacillaceae. The record is from RNAcentral.